CGGACGUACCAACGGAACUCAAGAUACAGAUUCAGAGAGAACUGCUCCUUGCGAAGGAGGCAAAAUACGAACAUGGCAGACGAAGACUGUCGACCGAGUACAGACAGCUGAUCAGCCAGAACAGCGAUAACGUGGACGCUGGCAAUGUGCCAUCUCGCUGGCAACGUCGUACUUCUCGCGUUUCUGAUGCCCUGGACGCGCAUGUACCGGCCACGCCUACUUCUUAGACUUAUAGAAUACUUCUAGCAUAAUUCUAGAGUUUUUUUUUAUGUAGUCUUAAUGUAGACAAAUGUUGGUUUUAAUGUGUGUGUUCGGGGGGCGUUUAUAAACUACAUACAAGUGUAAUUUUAAUCGUUUUCUCGCAAACGAAAAAAAACGACUACAAUUUACAUUGUCAAGAUGUGG
RNAcentral lists this unclassified non-coding RNA (405 nucleotides) under Melitaea cinxia (Glanville fritillary). Its description in RNAcentral is "misc RNA ENSMCXG00005005144.1". The record is from RNAcentral. Lineage: Eukaryota; Metazoa; Arthropoda; Insecta; Lepidoptera; Nymphalidae.